This 276-nucleotide long non-coding RNA is filed under the name Brassica rapa (field mustard). RNAcentral's name for it is "long non-coding RNA (BRAP_LNC006631)". The record is from RNAcentral. Lineage: Eukaryota; Viridiplantae; Streptophyta; Magnoliopsida; Brassicales; Brassicaceae.
UUGCAUUGAAAAUCGAAAACGAUAUUUAUUUUGUAACCAAAAGAAUUUUCUACAACGACACUUAAUAUGAAAUGAGAGAGUAGUUUGAUUCUGAGGUUUGUCUUUAUUGUCAACGUCAAAAUUUUCAAACCUUCUUCUAGAUGUCACUCUGAAUAUCCACCGCCUGUCAAUUGUUAUGGCAACCUCCAUUCUCCAACAAAAACGCAGUGAAGAAACUUCUAGAUGCCACUCUGAAUAUCACCGCCUAUUAAUUGUUAUGGCAACCUCCAUGCUCCA